This 250-nucleotide ribosomal RNA is filed under the name uncultured prokaryote. RNAcentral's name for it is "partial 16S rRNA". It matches the Rfam family "Bacterial small subunit ribosomal RNA", at positions 525 to 775 of the family's 1533-position model. The record is from RNAcentral.
ACGUAGGUGGCAAGCGUUGUCCGGAAUUAUUGGGCGUAAAGGGCGCGCAGGCGGGAGGAUAAGUCUGCUUUAAAAGUGCUGGGCUCAACCCCGUGAUGGGGAAGAAACUAUAUUUCUUGAGUGCAGGAGGGGCAGGCGGAAUUCCCAGUGUAGCGGUGAAAUGCGUAGAUAUUGGGAGGAACACCAGUGGCGAAGGCGGCCUGCUGGACUGUAACUGACGCUGAGGCGCGAAAGCCAGGGGAGCAAACGG